RNAcentral lists this ribosomal RNA (489 nucleotides) under uncultured bacterium. RNAcentral describes it as "bacterial SSU rRNA". It matches the Rfam family "Bacterial small subunit ribosomal RNA", at positions 43 to 513 of the family's 1533-position model. The record is from RNAcentral.
CAGGCCUAACACAUGCAAGUCGAGCGAGAAAGGGGCAACCCCGGUAAAGCGGCGCACGGGUGAGUAACACGUAGGUAAUUUACCCCCAGGUGGUGGAUAACCUUCCGAAAGGAGGGCUAAUACAGCGUAAGACCACGACUCCGCGAGGAGAUGAGGUCAAAGCCGGCCUCUUCAUGAAAGCUGGCGCCAGGGGAUGAGCCUGCGGCCCAUCACGGUAGUUGGUAGGGUAAUGGCCUACCAAGCCUAAGACGGGUAGCUGGUCUGAGAGGAUGAUCAGCCACACUGGAACUGAGACACGGUCCAGACUCCUACGGGAGGCAGCAGUGGGGAAUCUUGCGCAAUGGGCGAAAGCCUGACGCAGCGACGCCGCGUGAGUGAUGAAGGCCUUCGGGUUGUAAAGCUCUGUGGGGAGGGACGAAUAAGUGCCGGCUAAUAUCCAGCGCGAUGACGGUACCUCGGUAGCAAGCACCGGCUAACUCUGUGCCAGCA